RNAcentral lists this ribosomal RNA (253 nucleotides) under uncultured bacterium. RNAcentral's name for it is "partial 16S ribosomal RNA". It matches the Rfam family "Bacterial small subunit ribosomal RNA", at positions 524 to 776 of the family's 1533-position model. The record is from RNAcentral.
UACGUAGGGUGCGAGCGUUAAUCGGAAUUACUGGGCGUAAAGCGUGCGCAGGCGGUUUUGUAAGCCAGAUGUGAAAUCCCCGGGCUCAACCUGGGAAUGGCAUUUGGGACUGCAAGGCUGGAGUUUGGCAGAGGAGACUGGAAUUCCUGGUGUAGCAGUGAAAUGCGUAGAUAUCAGGAGGAAUACCGAUGGCGAAGGCAGGUCUCUGGGCCGAUACUGACGCUGAGGAGCGAAAGCGUGGGGAGCGAACAGG